This 425-nucleotide ribosomal RNA is filed under the name uncultured bacterium. RNAcentral's name for it is "bacterial SSU rRNA". It matches the Rfam family "Bacterial small subunit ribosomal RNA", at positions 29 to 455 of the family's 1533-position model. The record is from RNAcentral.
AUUGAACGCUGGCGGCAUGCCUAACACAUGCAAGUCGAACGGCAGCACGGCAGUAGCAAUACUGUGGGUGGCGAGUGGCGGACGGGUGAGGAAUACGUCGGAAUCUGCCCAGUCGUGGGGGGAUAACUAGCCGAAAGGUUAGCUAAUACCGCAUACGACCGAGAGGUGAAAGCGGGGGACCGCAAGGCCUCGCGCGAUUGGAUGAGCCGACGUCGGAUUAGCUAGUUGGAGGGGUAAAGGCCCACCAAGGCGACGAUCCGUAGCUGGUCUGAGAGGAUGAUCAGCCACACUGGAACUGAGACACGGUCCAGACUCCUACGGGAGGCAGCAGUGGGGAAUAUUGGACAAUGGGCGCAAGCCUGAUCCAGCAAUGCCGCGUGUGUGAGAAGGCCUCGGUGUAAGCACUUUAUCUAGACGAAAGACGU